Molecule: ribosomal RNA, 406 nt
Filed under: uncultured bacterium
Lineage: Bacteria
Description: bacterial SSU rRNA
Rfam family: Bacterial small subunit ribosomal RNA
Source: RNAcentral
ACUCCUACGGGAGGCAGCAGUGGGGAAUAUUGCACAAUGGGGGAAACCCUGAUGCAGCCAUGCCGCGUGUGUGAAGAAGGCCUUGGGUUGUAAAGCACUUUCAGUAGGGAGGAAGGUAGUGUAGUUAACACCUGCAUUAUUUGUACGUUACCUACAGAAGAAGCACCGGCUAACUCCGUGCCAGCAGCCGCGGUAAUACGGAGGGUGCGAGCGUUAAUCGGAAUUACUGGGCGUAAAGCGCAUGCAGGCGGCCUGUUAAGUCAGAUGUGAAAGCCCGGGGCUUAACCUCGGAAUUGCAUUUGAAACUGGCAGGCUAGAGUCUUGUAGAGGGGUUAGAAUUUCAGGUGUAGCGGUGAAAUGCGUAGAGAUCUGAAGGAAUACCGAGUGGCGAAGGCGGCCCCUGGAC